RNAcentral lists this ribosomal RNA (468 nucleotides) under uncultured bacterium. RNAcentral describes it as "partial 16S ribosomal RNA". It matches the Rfam family "Bacterial small subunit ribosomal RNA", at positions 28 to 507 of the family's 1533-position model. The record is from RNAcentral.
GACGAACGCUGGCGGCGUGCUUAACACAUGCAAGUCGAACGGAAAGGCCCUGCUUUUGUGGGGGGCUCGAGUGGCGAACGGGUGAGUAACCCGUGAGUAACCUGCCCUUGACUUUGGGAUAACUUCAGGAAACUGGGGCAAAUACCGGAGAGGAACUCCUGCGGCAUGGUGGGGGUUGGUAAGUUUCGGCGGUUGGGGGUGGACUCGCGGCUUAUUAGCUUGUUGGUGGGGGAGUGGAUUACCAAGGCUUAGGCGGGUAGCCGGCCUGGGGGGGUGACUGGCGACAUUGGGACUGGGAUACGGCCCAGACUCCUACGGGAGGCAGCAGUGGGGAAGAUUGCACAAUGGGCGGAAGCCUGAUGCAGCAACGCCGCGUGCGGGAGGACGGCCUUCGGGUUGUAAACCGCUUUCGCCUGUGACGAAGCGUGAGUGACGGUAAUGGGUAAAGAAGCACCGGCUAACUACGUG